This 377-nucleotide long non-coding RNA is filed under the name Nicotiana benthamiana. Its description in RNAcentral is "long non-coding RNA (NBEN_LNC041147)". Lineage: Eukaryota; Viridiplantae; Streptophyta; Magnoliopsida; Solanales; Solanaceae. The record is from RNAcentral.
AGGAUCAACAUCUUCACCAAUGGGACUUGUGAAUGGGUGCUUUAUGUAAAAAUAUUUUGGCCCAAAAGACGUGUUGCCUUCAGUACUGUAGAGUGGAGUGAAUAGUGAUCGUGCAUGUUUUCCAGGUAACCUUGUUCUUCCUUGCUGAAGAGGGGUUGAAUCAACAUGAAUUGGGUCACCAUACAUGACCAUUUGUGAUAGGUUUUCUGGAAUUUCAAAAUCGUCCAGUGUCACACCUUUAUUUUCAGUUCCUCCACACAUCACUCCAAUCUCCUCUUCGUUUUCAAUGCAUUCUUCGACAAUUUCAGUCACAGUUACACCAUGAAUUGGUGACUGUGGAAUAUUGUCUUGUUGUUCAAGUUGUUGAGGAGAAGAAG